This 663-nucleotide long non-coding RNA is filed under the name Olea europaea (common olive). RNAcentral describes it as "long non-coding RNA (OEUR_LNC002560)". The record is from RNAcentral. Lineage: Eukaryota; Viridiplantae; Streptophyta; Magnoliopsida; Lamiales; Oleaceae.
AGAAUUGCAGCAAGAAGUUCUACAAUUACUAUAAAAAAGAGGGGCAUUUCAUUAAAGAAUGUAACGUGCGGCCUCAGAAUAGACAAGGUCAAGGUUUUCAUACUGCUGUUCAAUCCAAUGCAAUUGCUAUCACCUCUACUCAUGCUCUAGGCAUGGAAUCUAUAGUUGGUUCUACACCGCUCUUAUGCUUGAGAUGUCCAACAGAUGAUUGUUCUCGCUUUCUCUGCCUUUCGCCUUCAAGAUAAAGAAAUUUACUCACCUUUCCUUAGUUGAAUCUACAACCUCCAAUCAUAUGAAUGGUAAUACAGAGGCUCUACAUAACAUUCAUAAGUAUAAAGGUGACCAACAUAUUUAAAUCGACAAUAAUAGUAAUCUUCUUAGGGAAAAUUGCGAUAACGGUCUCUAACCUUUUUAUUUUUUAUAAACUUUAUCCUAACCUUCAUUUUGUGUCAGUGGAGGUUCCUGGCCUUUCAUAAAUAUACACCUAAUGUCUAUAUGGGUGGAAACUACCCAAAAUACCGUCAGUUGACCGAAAAAAUUAAGGAAUCAACAUCCAAUAAAAUCGUUCAAAACAUCAUCCAAUUGUGGGUGGUAUUGGACCUCUCUCACCCCAAAAGCUAGCUCACAUCUUUACUUAUUACAAAGAAAACCAUGUAUUGCGAU